ACCAAUCCGUAUUGCUAGGUCCAUCGUCACGAAAAAGUCUUCGUUAACAUCCCUUCGUUCUAGCUUCCAAAAUUGUUUUGUUUCAGGGGAUAUAUGGCUUGUAUCCAUGGGCAUGGUUUUCCGAUCUUUUUUUUCAAUGUUUUCUUGGCGUGCAUACUCCCUUUCUUUGCGUAUAUACUCCCUUUCUUUUGCAUAUUCUUGUUGAAUUGCCAUAUCGUGCUCUUGUUGUUUCAUGUCCAUUUCAAUUCUCAUGACUUAGUGCUUUGAAAUUUCCUUCAAAAAUUUAGAUGCAUUAUUGGUUGAAUUACUCCCUCUCUUCACCUUCGCCGCCUUCCUCCCAAUAGGCCUUGGCUCCUUUUGGAUAGGUGAGUCUUGACUCAUCGGAGAAUCCAUAGGUGAAUCUGAUAUCGUUGAAUCAUGGAGUGACGUCUCAU
RNAcentral lists this long non-coding RNA (434 nucleotides) under Prunus persica (peach). Its description in RNAcentral is "long non-coding RNA (PPER_LNC002014)". The record is from RNAcentral. Lineage: Eukaryota; Viridiplantae; Streptophyta; Magnoliopsida; Rosales; Rosaceae.